RNAcentral lists this ribosomal RNA (461 nucleotides) under uncultured bacterium. RNAcentral describes it as "partial 16S ribosomal RNA". It matches the Rfam family "Bacterial small subunit ribosomal RNA", at positions 338 to 795 of the family's 1533-position model. The record is from RNAcentral.
CCUACGGGGGGCAGCAGUGAGGAAUAUUGGUCAAUGGGCGCGAGCCUGAACCAGCCAAGUCGCGUGAGGGAAGACGGCCCUACGGGUUGUAAACCUCUUUUGCCGGGGAGCAACGGGCGCCACGUGUGGCGACACUGAGAGUACCCGGAGAAAAAGCAUCGGCUAACUACGUGCCAGCAGCCGCGGUAAUACGUAGGUGGCAAGCGUUAUCCGGAUUUACUGGGUGUAAAGGGCGUGUAGGCGGGGACGCAAGUCAGAUGUGAAAACCACGGGCUCAACCUGUGGCCUGCAUUUGAAACUGUGUUUCUUGAGUACUGGAGAGGCAGACGGAAUUCCUAGUGUAGCGGUGAAAUGCGUAGAUAUUAGGAGGAACACCAGUGGCGAAGGCGGUCUGCUGGACAGCAACUGACGCUGAGGCGCGAAAGCGUGGGGAGCAAACAGGAUUAGAUACCCCUGUAGUC